RNAcentral lists this long non-coding RNA (3333 nucleotides) under Sus scrofa (pig). RNAcentral's name for it is "lncRNA (ENSSSCG00050036740.1)". Lineage: Eukaryota; Metazoa; Chordata; Mammalia; Artiodactyla; Suidae. The record is from RNAcentral.
UUGGCAAGGGAGGAGCAAUAGGAACAAGGCAUUGCCAAUUCUGUGCCAAACCCUUUAUCUCAAGGAUCUCAGCAGCACUAUGGGACAGAUACUUUUACCCCCAUUUUAAAGAUGACGAAACUGAGUCUCUGAAGGGAGGCACGACAAACACACACACACACACACAGUCCCUGGGGACACGUUCAUACUGCAUGUGGCACAUCCUGGGACAUGCCGCCCCGUCGAAUUAGGACAGUGAGACGCUUGUCAUUUAGGAGACUUUUGCCUUUCUCUUUAGCCCAAGCUGUGUGAGGCUCUAUUCCUCUAUUUAGGCUUCGAUAGAAGUACGGAGAGGGAAAAAAGGAAAUGUGAUGCUUAAACAAAAUAGGCCAUCGAGCUGACCACUAAACAGCACUUAGACCCCAAGUAUACACACAGCUGCUUUGUGUAAUGAAGGCUGUGGACCAUGUUCCUGGAUAUAAAAUAACAAACCACAUAUAACGUUUUACAUCGCUGGGUAAUUAGCAGGGAUCUGCGAGUGUGUGAGCCGACCGGGGUCAGGGGAGGGGGCUGGGUGUCUAGCACAGCGAGCUGCAGGGAAGAGCAGUGCUGUUGGGCUGGGAAGACGGGACUUUGAAUCCCUGCUGCCCCCUGUGUCGCCCUGAGAGCUUAGGCAACUGAUUUAAACUCUGUGAACUUCCAAUUUCAUUUCUGUCUAUGGGGAUAAAGUCUAUGCCUCCUGGCAAACAGUUUUGCCCUUCCGGCUCCUGCAGGAACCCUUGGCAAUAUCUGAAGACAUUUUGGAGUAUCACGAUCAGGGAGGGGCUCCUGGCCUCCAGGGGGCAGAGACCGGAUACUGUUAAACACGUUACAAUGCGCAGGACGGGUGGUCAAACAUCUUAGCAAUGCAUGGGACAGGUCCUACAACGAAGAAUUACCCUACCCGCAAUACCGGUCCUGCUGAGACUGGGACGUCCUGCCCUGCAGAGCGGCUGCCUCAAGGAAAUAAUCGAGACUGCCCUUCACUGAGCAUCUACUGUGCUUGGCAGUGCUCUCACUUUAUUUCAGUGUGUGGCCUCUUGCCUGUUCAGAGUACGUCGAAAAGGCAGGUACUGUUAUUAUCCUCGAUUUACAGAUGAGGAAACGGAGGCCCCAGACGUAUCCCAACCCCCCAGCCAAGUCAGUGGAGGAGCCAGGUUUGAACCAAGGCAGGAUGGCUCUGGAGGCUGCCACAUGGCUGAAUGGAACUCAUGCACCUGCUCCAGUGCCUGGCACGUGGCAGUGAUGGUGACGGUGAUGCCUGUAAAGAGGACGAGAGGACUCACUCUUUCGUUGAUGGGACAUCUGUAUCCAGUGUCCAGUCAGGACUUGGUGCUAAAGGAUUGGGAGCCAGGAUAGGCAGGGAUCUCUCGCGUGGGCUGUAUUUUCUAGUUCAUUUGCUUCUAGUUCUAGUUCCUCUAGAAGGACAAGAAUGAAGAUGUAGCCUAGAGCAGUGAGAUGAUGGAAGGGAUUGUGUGUGGUGGAUGCUGAGCGCUCUGCCAGGAGAGGGUCUGGGCAGAGGGAUCAGCCUGGGCACAGCCCAGAGGGAGGGAACCACCUUGGUGUGUCUAGAAAGAAGAGAACAUUCCAGAAACGCCUAACACGGGAGGGCAUACGUCCAUCGUGGCGCAAAAAUUUUUACAAAUACAUAAAAGCCGGUUCAGACUUUGCGAUGGAGGGUGGCGCCGUGGCAAGUGAAGAUUUCCAGGAGCCCAGUGAGGGCACGUGGGCAGUUGUCGCAGGGGCGAGUGUGGUGGUGGCUGCGUCCAGCGUGGGUGUGGUCCAGCUGGAGGAAAGUGGGCAGAUUUGGUUCGUACAGAGGGAAGCAUUUCGUGGCGCCUGUGAUGUGCAGAGUGAGGGGAGGGCGAUCAAGGGUAACGGAGGAUUUUGUCUGGAGAACGGGCUCCACCGGCUGAGACGGGGCGGCCCGGCAGCAGAGUUUCGAGGGAAUGGAGGCGCGGCAUCAGGAGUCCAUCUCUAGGUCAGGUUAGGGAUGACCUGCCGACGGGCGUCCGAGGGGAGGAGUUGAGCACAGGGCAUGUGAAUGAUCGAGGGGCUUUGGGGCUGGAAGCCUGCAUUUCAGCUCCGCUCCAUAGAGACGCUGCUUCAAGCCAGGGGCCUGUCUGAGAGAGAGAGACCUGGGAGCAUCCUCGGUCGAAGCCCAGGGGUCCUAAUCCUUUCAGGGUUGAGAGAAGCAUCCAUGAAAAUUGACCGAAGUAGACAAACGGAGAUAGAGAAAGUCUCUAAAACAAAAUAAACGGGGGGAGGGACCGCUACGUUGGACCACAGGGGGCUGACAGGCACCCUUUCAGAGGACUGCUGGGGGUGGAAGCUCAGUGAAAGGAGUUGAGAACAGAGAGGGGAGGACAAGAGGUGGGCACGGCCGGUUCAGGCAACUCUUGCCAACUUUUGCGGGAAAGAAGGGGAGCAGCGUAAGGAUGCAGGGUCAAUGGAGAGCCUGGAAAUCACAGUUACACGGUGUGUGUGAUCCGGCAGAGAGGAAGGGACUCAUGACCCCAGAGCAAGAGGGGUUCCGUGGAGGAGGCCCCGAGAAGUACUAGAAAGCCAGGGACAUGGGACCCAGAGACAAAGGAGGGACUCAGCCUUGUUGGGACAGUUCGUCUCUUAUUUCAGGGCGGGCAGCAAGGACAGGAAUGUUGUAGGUGAUUGAGAAAGCUGUUUGGAAAUCAUUCCUUCUCCUUUCUCCGAGAGGAGCAUCAGCACCCUGACCUGGGCCGCCGGUCAGCCGCUCGCCCUGACCACAGUCCGGACUGAGCUCUGGCCCCUAGACUGGAUCUGGGAUCCCAUCCACCCAUCUCUCCCCCGUUGUUUUAAGGGAUGACCGUGGAAGGCUCGAUGAAACCCGUCUCUGCAGCUAAAAAGACAGCUGGAAGCAACGUGAGGUUCAGCGGGAUUGAUCAGGGGACCAGGCGGGAUCAAGAGAUGAGGGCUGCCUUCAGGACAGUAUCAGGAAAGAGGAGUCCCCGCACCUGGAGCCAAGAGGGUUCCUAAGAGCAGAGCCAUUUGUGCAAAGUGUCUUUAAUAGGAGGAAGCCAAGAACUGAGACCAUCAAAAUGGGUCAAAAUUUGGGAUUCAUCAGAAUAAGGACAGAGUAAUUACAGACACUGUCAACAGAGAUGCCAGCAGAGUGAAGAGCGAGUGGCUUAAGUGGAGUUGUUGGGGGUUCAACUAAAUCUAGCUGAGUGCUUUGCAGCUUCUCCCUUUCUUAUGGGCCCUUGCAGGACCAGUGUCGUUUGUGCAAUUAGAUUUAUGUAUUGAUAAGGUGAUUAAGAGUUUAUAACCUUAGGAGUUCCC